RNAcentral lists this ribosomal RNA (253 nucleotides) under uncultured bacterium. RNAcentral's name for it is "partial 16S ribosomal RNA". It matches the Rfam family "Bacterial small subunit ribosomal RNA", at positions 524 to 776 of the family's 1533-position model. The record is from RNAcentral.
UACGUAGGGUGCAAGCGUUGUCCGGAAUUAUUGGGCGUAAAGAGCUCGUAGGCGGUUUGUCGCGUCUGCUGUGAAAACUCGGGGCUUAACUCCGGGCCUGCAGUGGGUACGGGCAGACUAGAGUGCGGUAGGGGAGACUGGAAUUCCUGGUGUAGCGGUGAAAUGCGCAGAUAUCAGGAGGAACACCGGUGGCGAAGGCGGUGGUCUGGGCCGGCACUGACGCUGAGGAGCGAAAGCGUGGGGAGCAAACAGG